Molecule: ribosomal RNA, 432 nt
Filed under: uncultured bacterium
Lineage: Bacteria
Description: bacterial SSU rRNA
Rfam family: Bacterial small subunit ribosomal RNA
Source: RNAcentral
GGCCUAACACAUGCAAGUCGAACGCCCCGCAAGGGGAGUAACAGACGGGUGAGUAACACGUGGGAACGUACCCUUUGGUUCGGAACAACGCCGGGAAACUGGCGCUAAUACCGGAUACGCCCUGUGAAGGGGAAAGGCUUGCUGCCUGAGGAGUGGCCCGCGUUCGAUUAGCUAGAUGGCGGGGUAACGGCCCACCAUGGCGACGAUCGAUAGCUGGUCUGAGAGGAUGGCCAGCCACAUUGGGACUGAGACACGGCCCAAACUCCUACGGGAGGCAGCAGUGGGAAUAUUGGACAAUGGGCGCAAGCCUGAUCCAGCCAUGCCGCGUGAGUGAUGAAGGCCUUAGGGUUGUAAAGCUCUUUCGCACGCGACGAUAAUGACGGUAGCGUGAGAAGAAGCCCCGGCUAACUUCGUGCCAGCAGCCGCGGUAAU